RNA transcript from Mobula hypostoma (lesser devil ray), 2860 nucleotides. It is a transcript of the gene named transcription factor Maf-like, with no coding region annotated. The record is from RefSeq and is a predicted model, not a curated record. The transcript has 2 exons. NCBI's taxonomy places the organism in Eukaryota, Metazoa, Chordata, Chondrichthyes, Myliobatiformes, Myliobatidae.
CUCUCUUUCUGUUCCCCAGCUGACAGUCAGCUGAUCUGAGCGUGUGAUUGACAGUUUGAAAAGUUUGCCCUGUUCCACUCUUAUGCUAAGUAGACAAGCUGACGCACCAUCCCAUUGGCUGCGAGUCUCAGUCAAUUUCCCAUUUGAAGCUGACGUCGGGUCCAAUAUAAAAGAAGCGAAGCUUUUAAACAGAGAGCUGACGGUUCUCGUCCUCCAGCUAAAAUCUCAACACGCGUUGGGUUUGGCUCUUUUCACCCAGAAAACUAUUGCAAUCGCUUAUUAUCUGCUUCCUCUCUCUCUCUCCGUGCACCUUUCAUCCUUACAUUUCAGUCUCUCGCUCCCCCCACCUUCUUUCUCUACCCAACCAUUGCAAAGCAACAGCAGCCAAGAUGAAGCAGUGAGUGAGAGAGGGAGAGAGAGGGAGAGAGAGAAAGAGAGAGAGAGAAAACCAACAUUCAGACCCGCUGUCCAGAUUCCAUGAAGCAAAGACUUAUGAAAGAGAGAGAAAUCGUAUUCUACCGAUGCAUCUGUACUAUAACAGAUCGGAGCCGGAACGAGCAUAAAAAUUAUACUUAACAAAAAAAAGCUGGUGUGCAAGACUUCUAAAUCCUAGUUAAAAAAAAACAAGCAACCAAGAACAAAAUAACAAAGAAAUCAAGCUGGCUCUCUCUCCUUCAGCUCAGAGCAGUCUCAUCGCGGCGAUCGCAGGCGUUUGCCCCGGCGUUUGGAGGUCUGGUCGUACUAAUACCAUCUGCAGUAAAAGGAUGGCAUCCGAAUUGGCAAUCAACAGCGCCGACCUACCCAACAGUCCCCUUGCGAUGGAAUAUGUUAAUGACUUCGAUCUGAUGAAAUUCGAAGUCAAAAAGGAGCCGCUGGAGUCCGAAGGCAACCCGGGCAGCCACUGCAACCGCAUCGGGGGCUCGUUAUCUUCCACUCCAAUGAGUACCCCGUGCAGUUCGGUGCCCCCGUCUCCCAGCUUCAGCGCUCCAAGCCCCGGGGAGCAGAAGGCGGCGCACCUGGAAGACUUUUACUGGAUGACUAACUACCAGCAGCUAAACCCGGACGCUCUGAGCUUCACGCCGGAGGAUGCGGUGGAGGCCCUGAUUAACAGCGCCCAUCAGCAGAUGCAAGGAGGCUUCGACGGCUACCGGGGCCAGCAGCAACAACAGCAGCAGCAACAGCAGUAUGCAGCGGCGGGGGCCGGCGCCGGAGCUGGAGCGGGCAUGGCUGGCGAGCAGAUGGGUCCGCCCGGAACCGUGGUGGCUCACCACCAGCACCAACACCACCACCAUCACCACCACCAGGGGCACCAACACCCAGGGGGAGGAGUGGCCGCCGUUGGCACGGCCGGCACCGGGAGCACCGGCCCCGCCGCCGGCGGCAUCCACCAGCACCCGCACCUGCGGAACAGCGAGCGCUUCUCCGACGACCAGUUGGUCACCAUGUCGGUGAGGGAGCUGAACCGGCAACUCCGAGGUGUCAGCAAGGAGGAGGUUAUCCGGCUGAAACAAAAACGCCGGACCUUGAAGAACCGGGGCUACGCGCAGUCGUGCCGCUUCAAGCGGGUGCAGCAGCGGCACAUGUUGGAGAGCGAGAAAACUCAGCUGCAACAGCAGGUCGAACACUUAAAACAGGAGAUAACCCGACUGGUGCGAGAGAGGGACGCCUACAAGGAGAAGUACGAAAAACUUGUGUCCAGCGGCUUCAGAGAAACGGGAUCGUCUAGCGAUAACCCUUCCUCCCCGGAAUUCUUCAUGUGAGUUUGUGGGUUUGCUCUGCCCUAAUAACCCCCUCAAAAAAAACUUUAAAAAAAACUUUUUCAAAAAGUUUUUUUAAACACAAAAACCUGCCGUCUCUCUCCCUCACCCCAUCAUCUCAUGCAUUAUAUGCUUGCUAUAUUAUUUUUUGUUUGUUUUUUUAAUGAAAGGACCAUAUUAAUUAUAAGCCUGCAUGCUGGACAUGUAUGGAUUUAAUUAGCUAGUUGAAAGCGGAUUUUAAAAAAAAAUGAAUUAUGGCAUGGCAAGAGAUUAUACCGGUGACUUUUUUUUUGCUCUUUUUUUGACAUGGAAGCAAAAACGAAACAAAAUUGCACCGUUGGUCGUCAUCAACCCCCUCCUUCCAUGAAAAAAGAACGUUUGAAUCUGCAAGGGGGGAGUUGCGUUGACUUUAGUUCUGGGUCUUUGAAAACAUCAGACUUUCUCAUUAUGUUUUAUGCACUGAACUGUUUCUGCAAAAAAAAACAUUGACAAACUGGAUCUCUGUAUUACAAAGUCUGGGACUAUUACUGAGGAAAAAAAACAGUUAUUGCCAUAAUGUUUGGGACAUUAAAUAUAUAUAUAUAUAUAUAUAUAUAAAUACAUACAUACAUAUAUAUAAAGUGGUGUGUUGAUCCGGAGAACGGUAUAUAAGUUUAUUAAACAUGGGUUUAAACCCUUUCUCCGCGUUUUGGGUUAACUAUGUAACUCGCUAUGAAGUUGAAUGGUGUGUGUGUGUGUGUGUGUGUGUGUGUGUGUGUGUGUGUGUGUGUGUGUGCGUGUGUGUGAGAGAGAGAGAGAGAGAGUUCGAUAAUAUUUAAUUUAAUUGCAUUUGUAUGUAUCUGUUAAGAAAACGAGGAUUGUGUAUCCCCUAUCAGCUGUUGACGCGAAAUUAAGAAAUGGUGUGCAGAUUGUAGGUCUAUGUAGUUGAUGGGUGUUUCCCCUAAAAAAAAUGUGAAAUUCAUUGCACUAAGAUAUUACCAAGUUCAUCCUUUCGAAGAAAACCCUCAGUAUCCCUGGGCAAAAGUCCCCGCCUCGGACCACAUCUCGUCAGGCUCCUGCUCUCGAUCACCUCGCUUACACCUGGAUUGUCGCCUCUCUCCAGA